This 396-nucleotide ribosomal RNA is filed under the name Chlorella sp. AK-2013. RNAcentral describes it as "partial 18S ribosomal RNA". It matches the Rfam family "Eukaryotic small subunit ribosomal RNA", at positions 936 to 1328 of the family's 1831-position model. Lineage: Eukaryota; Viridiplantae; Chlorophyta; Trebouxiophyceae; Chlorellales; Chlorellaceae. The record is from RNAcentral.
CGCCCUGAAUAUUGCAUUUCGCCAAGGAUGUUUUCAUUAAUCAAAAAAGCAGAGAAGUUGGGGGCUCGAAGACGAUUAGAUACCGUCGUAGUCUCAACCAUAAACGAUGCCGACUAGGGAUUGGCGAAGGUUUUUUUAAUGACUUCGCCGCACCUUAUGAAAAAUCAAAGUUUUUGGGUUCCGGGGGGAGUAUGGUCCCAAGGCUGAAACUUAAAGGAAUUGACGGAGGGGCACCACCAGGCUUGGAGCCGGCGGCUUAAUUUGACUCAACACGGGAAAACUUACCAGGUCCAAACUUAGUGGGGAUUGACAGAUGGAGAGCUCUUUCUGGAUUCUUUGGGUGGUGGUGCAGGGCCUUUCUUAGUUGGUGGGUUGCCUGUGUCAGGUUGAUCCCAA